UGACCGCUGGCGGCAGGCCUAACACAUGCAAAUCGCACGGUAACAGGAAACAGCUUGCUGUUUCGCUGACGAGUGGCGGACGGGUGAGUAAUGUCUGGGAAACUGCCUGAUGGAGGGGGAUAACUACUGGAAACGGUAGCUAAUACCGCAUAACGUCGCAAGACCAAAGAGGGGGACCCUCGGGCCUCUUGCCAUCGGAUGUGCCCAGAUGGGAUUAGCUUGUUGGUGGGGUAACGGCUCACCAAGGCGACGAUCCCUAGCUGGUCUGAGAGGAUGACCAGCCACACUGGAACUGAGACACGGUCCAGACUCCUACGGGAGGCAGCAGUGGGGAAUAUUGCACAAUGGGCGCAAGCCUGAUGCAGCCAUGCCGCGUGUAUGAAGAAGGCCUUCGGGUUGUAAAGUCCUUUCAGCGGGGAGGAAGGGAGUAAAGUUAAUACCUUUGCUCAUUGACGUUACCCGCAGAAGAAGCACCGGCUAACUCCGUG
RNAcentral lists this ribosomal RNA (488 nucleotides) under uncultured bacterium. RNAcentral describes it as "partial 16S ribosomal RNA". It matches the Rfam family "Bacterial small subunit ribosomal RNA", at positions 30 to 507 of the family's 1533-position model. The record is from RNAcentral.